AAAACAUGUCCUUUAGAAUUUAAUUUAAGGUCUAACCUGCCCACUGAUUUAAAUGGCCGCAGUAUUUUAACUGUGCAAAGGUAGCAUAAUCAUUAGUCUUUUAAUUGAAGGCUUGUAUGAAUGGUUGAACGAAAUAUUAACUGUUUCAUAAGAAUUUUUAGAAUUUUAUUUUUUAGUUAAAAAGCUAAAAUUUUUUUAAAAGACGAGAAGACCCUAUAGAUCUUUAUAUUUUAUUAAUUAUAGUUAUAUAGAUUAUUUAAAUUAUAAUAUUAUAAGUUAUUUUGUUGGGGUGACAUUAAAAUUUAAUAAACUUUUAAUAAAUUUUUACAUUUAUUUAUGAUUAAUUGAUCCACUAUUAGUGAUUAGAAAAUUAAGUUACCCUAGGGAUAACAGCGUAAUUUUUUUGAAGAGUUCAUAUCGAUAAAAAAGAUUGCGACCUCGAUGUUGGAUUAAGAUAUAAUUUUGGGUGCAACAAUUCAAAUAUUAAGUC
RNAcentral lists this ribosomal RNA (490 nucleotides) under Therevidae gen. sp. NC-Csp. RNAcentral describes it as "partial 16S ribosomal RNA". It matches the Rfam family "Bacterial large subunit ribosomal RNA", at positions 1810 to 2577 of the family's 2925-position model. The record is from RNAcentral. Lineage: Eukaryota; Metazoa; Arthropoda; Insecta; Diptera; Therevidae.